GUCAUAGUAUUAUAAAUAAUAUUAUCUUGGACCGUAGUAACGAGAUUUAUUUAUUUAAACAAAAGUUUUUAUAGUCAAUUAUUUACACUGGCUAGGCGCACGACCAAAGAAAUACCGGACCAACUUAAAGAGAAACGCUGGUUAUAGGGAAUGUCCAUUCCGCGAAACUGGAGAGGCGCCUAAUUGGAGUGGCGCCUAUAAUAUGAGAUAAACUGCACCACCGAGGACGACAAGAGGACCAUAGGCGGACUGUCGGAUCGGGAUGCCGGAGCGGACGUGGCUGGCCUUUGCGGUGACCCGGCCACGUUCUAGUUGGGCCGCGACGACGGCUUGGGGAGGUGCACUACAACAUAAACGGCCGAAAGCGAAUCAGACGGGGGAGCAAGAGGAUGGCUCGACGGCGGAGAUAAAUAUAAGAUAUGGCAUGCAGCGGUGGCACUUGCAGCAGCCGCAAACGCGGAAAAAGGAUCGGGAUCGGCAAGACUAGUUUGGAAAUCAGCAGCCUCUGAAGGACCACCGAAAGCAUAUGUAACGGAAAUGCUGCCCGCGUCCGGGAAACCGGCCCGCCCGGCGAUGGGGUUCGUUCUGCAGUGGCGUUAUGGUAAAGCGGCUGGGUGAAUCGGACAAGAAGGCCAGGCUGUGGAGAUCGAGGUGCAUAUAUGUCAGAGCCGGAGAUGGUCGAAAGAGGAACUGACGAGAAGUGACGGUGAAACUGAGGGGGGUAAGGAGCGACGUGGCAGUUCCACGAGAUGCGCGACAAGAAAAUAUAAUACAAUUCGACUGCAUGACAAAUUACUUACAUUACAACCAGGAUCGUGACAGAUCAACCUAGCUCAAAUUAAAUAUUACCAAAUAUAACGACAUCAUAAAAUACCAUGUACAAUUAACCGGCGAGUUUCCACUAAUAUGCUCGCCGGAACCAGGCCGGUCAAAAGCCGGCCACGACAAAUCACCCCAACCAGUAACCUAAAUUAAAUAGUACCUACCAAACAUAAUUACAACAUAAUAUACUAUAAUUAUAAUGUUUCAUCAUAUACCUACGAUUAACCGGCGAGUUUCCACUUACUAUGCUCGCCGGAACUCUUGAGGCCAUAUAUACGUCGCGCUUCUCUGGACUGCCAACACCGCACGCUCCUUACCCUCCGAUCUACAGUUUCACCGUCACUACCAAAGUUCCUCCAUCUCCGAGUCCGACUAGCACCUCGAUCAGCAGCCUGCAAUAGCUUUCUACAGUCCGAACCACCCAGUCGAACGCCUUCCCGCUGCAGAACGAACACGAGCCGGUUACACGGACGCGGGCAGCGUUUCCGUGAUCGUGGUCCUUUGGCAAAGGCUGAUUUCUAGACUCGUCCACUUGCUGCUUCCUGAUCCUGCGGCUGCUGCCACCGCUGCAUGCCGUAAUCGUUGCCGUCGAGCUCCCACACAUCCUCUUGCUCCGUUCAGAGCACUGAACCGCAGUCGACCGGAAGUUGUUGUAGUGCACUGCGCUGUCGUAGCAGCCCAACGAGAACCUCCCAACAGGCCCGGUGGCCGCCGGGCGGCGUCCUGGUCCGACAGCCCGUCACCUCAAAGUAUCCUCUCGUCGUCUUUGGUGUGCAGUAUGUCUGUAAAAGCCGGCAAUGGACAUUUCACACCAGCGUUUCUAUUGUUCAAAUCGUCCGGUCGAUGCGGUCGUAGGCCGAAAAGUGGCAGUUUCAGAAAAGCGCAUUAAAGCUAAAAAAAAAAUUUGUCAUUGUUUUAUAUUAAUAAAGAAAAAUGUUCGGAUUAA
This is a long non-coding RNA of Acyrthosiphon pisum (pea aphid), 1768 nucleotides long. RefSeq lists it as uncharacterized. NCBI's taxonomy places the organism in Eukaryota, Metazoa, Arthropoda, Insecta, Hemiptera, Aphididae. The record is from RefSeq and is a predicted model, not a curated record. The transcript has 3 exons.